CCUACGGGAGGCAGCAGUGGGGAAUAUUGGGCAAUGGGCGCAAGCCUGACCCAGCAACGCCGCGUGAAGGAUGAAGGUUUUCGGAUUGUAAACUUCUGUCGCGAGGGACGAAGAAUGACGGUACCUCGUCCGAAAGCCCCGGCUAACUACGUGCCAGCAGCCGCGGUAAUACGUAGGGGGCAAGCGUUGACCGGAAUGACUGGGCGUAAGGGGGGUGUGGGGAGCCGUGUAAGGUAGAUGUGAAAUCCUAGGGCUUAACCGUAGAACUGCAUCUAAAACUGUGUGGCUGGAGUGCAGGAGAGGUGAGUGGAAUGCCUAGUGUAGCGGUGGAAUGCGUAGAUAUGAGGAGGAACACCAGAGGCGAAGGCGACUCACUGGACUGUAACUGACGCUGAGGCUCGAAAGCGUGGGUAGCAAACAGGAUUAGAUACCCGUGUAGUC
RNAcentral lists this ribosomal RNA (441 nucleotides) under uncultured bacterium. RNAcentral describes it as "partial 16S ribosomal RNA". It matches the Rfam family "Bacterial small subunit ribosomal RNA", at positions 338 to 795 of the family's 1533-position model. The record is from RNAcentral.